This 1335-nucleotide ribosomal RNA is filed under the name Salmonella enterica. Its description in RNAcentral is "partial 23S ribosomal RNA". It matches the Rfam family "Bacterial large subunit ribosomal RNA", at positions 911 to 2227 of the family's 2925-position model. Lineage: Bacteria; Pseudomonadati; Pseudomonadota; Gammaproteobacteria; Enterobacterales; Enterobacteriaceae. The record is from RNAcentral.
UGUUUCGGCUAGGGGGCCAUCCCGGCUUACCAACCCGAUGCAAACUGCGAAUACCGGAGAAUGUUAUCACGGGAGACACACGGCGGGUGCUAACGUCCGUCGUGAAGAGGGAAACAACCCAGACCGCCAGCUAAGGUCCCAAAGUCAUGGUUAAGUGGGAAACGAUGUGGGAAGGCCCAGACAGCCAGGAUGUUGGCUUAGAAGCAGCCAUCAUUUAAAGAAAGCGUAAUAGCUCACUGGUCGAGUCGGCCUGCGCGGAAGAUGUAACGGGGCUAAACCAUGCACCGAAGCUGCGGCAGCGACACUAUGUGUUGUUGGGUAGGGGAGCGUUCUGUAAGCCUGCGAAGGUGGCCUGUGAGGGUUGCUGGAGGUAUCAGAAGUGCGAAUGCUGACAUAAGUAACGAUAAAGCGGGUGAAAAGCCCGCUCGCCGGAAGACCAAGGGUUCCUGUCCAACGUUAAUCGGGGCAGGGUGAGUCGACCCCUAAGGCGAGGCCGAAAGGCGUAGUCGAUGGGAAACGGGUUAAUAUUCCCGUACUUGGUGUUACUGCGAAGGGGGGACGGAGAAGGCUAUGUUGGCCGGGCGACGGUUGUCCCGGUUUAAGCGUGUAGGUGUGUGUUCCAGGUAAAUCCGGUUCACUUUAACACUGAGGCGUGACGACGAGGCACUACGGUGCUGAAGCAACAAAUGCCCUGCUUCCAGGAAAAGCCUCUAAGCAUCAGGUAACAUCAAAUCGUACCCCAAACCGACACAGGUGGUCAGGUAGAGAAUACCAAGGCGCUUGAGAGAACUCGGGUGAAGGAACUAGGCAAAAUGGUGCCGUAACUUCGGGAGAAGGCACGCUGACACGUAGGUGAAGUGAUUUACUCACGGAGCUGAAGUCAGUCGAAGAUACCAGCUGGCUGCAACUGUUUAUUAAAAACACAGCACUGUGCAAACACGAAAGUGGACGUAUACGGUGUGACGCCUGCCCGGUGCCGGAAGGUUAAUUGAUGGGGUCAGCGCAAGCGAAGCUCCUGAUCGAAGCCCCGGUAAACGGCGGCCGUAACUAUAACGGUCCUAAGGUAGCGAAAUUCCUUGUCGGGUAAGUUCCGACCUGCACGAAUGGCGUAAUGAUGGCCAGGCUGUCUCCACCCGAGACUCAGUGAAAUUGAACUCGCUGUGAAGAUGCAGUGUACCCGCGGCAAGACGGAAAGACCCCGUGAACCUUUACUAUAGCUUGACACUGAACAUUGAGCCUUGAUGUGUAGGAUAGGUGGGAGGCUUUGAAGCGUGGACGCCAGUCUGCGUGGAGCCGACCUUGAAAUACCACCCUUUAAUGUUUGAUGUUCUAACG